This 26-nucleotide non-coding RNA is filed under the name Rattus norvegicus (Norway rat). Lineage: Eukaryota; Metazoa; Chordata; Mammalia; Rodentia; Muridae. The record is from RNAcentral.
UCACCAAGGCUAAACUCACCGGCGGG